This is an RNA transcript of Perognathus longimembris pacificus (Pacific pocket mouse), 2814 nucleotides long. It is a transcript of the gene named LIM homeobox 1, with no coding region annotated. The transcript is spliced from 6 exons. The record is from RefSeq and is a predicted model, not a curated record. Lineage: Eukaryota; Metazoa; Chordata; Mammalia; Rodentia; Heteromyidae.
AGCGCGGGAGCCCCGGCGCGUCCCAACCGGCUGCACCAUGCCGGCAGUUUAGGAUCCAAAGCUUCUCUACUUGGGGUUUUUUUUUUCUUUCUUCCUUCCUUCCUUUUCUUUCUUUUUUAAGAGGGAGAACCCCUGGUAGUGGGCAGCCUGGCACGCACGCAUCCGCCUUCAUACUCCGACAAAAAGCAGUUGCACUUUGACUCCUGACAGCUCUACCUCAAGCCUGAGAGAACUCGGCGGCGCUCCCCCCCCCCCCACCACCUCCGAAAACCCGAGCUCGCCGCGUCUCUCCUCUCCGGCUCCGUCGCGGUUUUAUUUAUUUAUUUCCGUUCCCGCCUCCGUUCCCGGUGACCUUCACUCUUCCGCGGGCUCCGAGCCGAACAGUGGCUUUCUGGUCUGCCUGAGACUCCUUUCCGUCGCCUGGGGAGCUGCGGUGGCGCUGCUCCGCCCCACGCCCCUGGGACUCCCUGACUACACAGCCCAUCCAGGCGCCCCGGGCCUCUCCACAGCCUGGUUUUCCUGGUUUUGAUAUUUUUUUUCCUCCCCCUCUCGUGCGGGUUUUGGCUUGCACGGCCGAGGUGUGUCUCCUCUCUUUGGAGGGGCUGGGGAGCUGGGACUGGUUGUCUUUGGGAGUAAAUCCCCUUGGCUCUCUCUACUGGGCUCCGUCUCCUCCGGGCCUCACCCGACCAAACCAAAGACCAUGGUGCACUGUGCCGGCUGCAAAAGGCCCAUCCUGGACCGCUUCCUCUUGAACGUGCUGGACAGGGCCUGGCAUGUCAAGUGCGUCCAGUGCUGUGAAUGUAAAUGCAACCUGACCGAGAAGUGCUUCUCCCGGGAAGGCAAGCUCUACUGUAAAAACGAUUUCUUCCGAUGUUUCGGUACCAAAUGCGCGGGCUGCGCGCAGGGCAUCUCCCCGAGCGACCUGGUCCGGAGAGCGCGGAGCAAAGUGUUUCACCUAAACUGCUUCACCUGCAUGAUGUGUAACAAGCAGCUUUCCACCGGCGAGGAGCUCUACAUCAUAGACGAGAACAAGUUCGUCUGCAAAGAGGAUUACCUAAGCAACAGCAGUGUCGCCAAAGAGAAUAGCCUCCACUCGGCCACCACCGGCAGUGACCCGAGUUUGUCUCCGGAUUCUCAAGACCCGUCGCAGGACGAUGCCAAGGACUCGGAGAGUGCCAACGUGUCAGACAAGGAAGGUGGUAGCAAUGAGAAUGACGAUCAGAACCUAGGCGCCAAGCGGAGGGGACCUCGCACUACGAUCAAAGCCAAGCAGCUAGAGACGUUGAAGGCCGCGUUUGCUGCUACGCCCAAGCCCACUCGCCACAUCCGGGAGCAGCUGGCUCAGGAGACUGGCCUCAACAUGCGGGUCAUCCAGGUCUGGUUCCAGAACCGGCGCUCCAAGGAACGCAGGAUGAAGCAGCUGAGCGCGUUGGGCGCCCGACGCCACGCCUUCUUCCGAAGUCCCCGCCGGAUGCGGCCGCUGGUGGACCGCCUGGAACCGGGGGAGCUCAUCCCCAACGGCCCCUUCUCCUUUUACGGAGAUUACCAGAGCGAGUACUACGGUCCCGGGGGCAACUACGACUUCUUCCCGCAAGGCCCCCCGUCCUCGCAGGCGCAGACGCCCGUGGACCUACCUUUCGUACCUUCGUCCGGGCCGUCUGGAACGCCCCUGGGCGGCCUGGAGCACCCGCUGCCCGGCCACCACCCGUCGAGCGAGGCGCAGCGCUUCACCGACAUCCUGGCGCAUCCUCCAGGGGACUCGCCCAGCCCGGAGCCCAGCCUGCCCGGGCCUCUGCACUCCAUGUCGGCGGAGGUCUUCGGGCCCAGCCCACCCUUCUCAUCGCUGUCGGUAAACGGUGGGGCGACCUACGGGAACCACCUGUCCCAUCCCCCUGAAAUGAACGAGGCGGCCGUGUGGUAGCGGGGUCUCCCAUGGUCCGAAGAGUUCGUGAUUGUACAGAAACGAACUUUUAUUUAAGAAAAUAAAAUAGAGAGGAGGAGAGAGAGAGAGAGAGAGAGAGCAAAAAAAAGAAGAAGAAAAAAUAAACCCCAUAAAAAGCAAACCUCCUGCACCACUUUUCUCCAGUCUCGAAGACCCUUCUCGGUAUGGAGAGACCAGGUGGGAAAAGGUGGAGGGGGGGGGGGGGACAGGGACAUAAAAUAGGAUCCAAAUUCGACUCGAGCGGGACUGGGAUCCGUGUCCUGGCUGCAAAACUGGAGGACCCGAAGGGCAAGGCAGAGCUUUCCUCUCUGCCCACCCGGACCCGGCUCGCUGGAUGGACUCCGAGGGUCUGUGCCCCCUGGCCGGAGAAUGGCCCGAAAGAUGUCUACGGAGGCCGCAGGCGGGCAGAGCAAUUGGUGAUGCCAGGCGCUGAGGGAGGGAGGCCGCGAGGCCGCGCAGCCCGGCCGGGGAGAUGAAGUGGUCGAUCGGAGGCCGCUCCCGGUACAGCCGGGAGGGUUUUCUAGCUCUGGGAUAGCUCUUGUUAGUGUUGUCUCAGAGUUUCAUCCACCACAGCGACAACAAACUCUUAUAGCUUCAGAAACACCGACCUGCUGUGCAUCAGGUGGGACUCUCUAUAUAUAUAUUUUUUGUCUAUCUGAGUUUUUGGUUUCUGUUUUUGCCAAAAUUACAAAAUUCUAAAUGGUAAGCCCUCAGUAUCAACUAUUCUACCUUCACAAAGCUACACACACACACACACACACACACACACACACACACACACACGGGACAGGUCUCCAGUUAGACCUCUCAGUAAAAUGACUUGAACAUCAGCUAUACAAGAAAAGUAUUCUACUUUCACACACAAAGGUUAA